This 435-nucleotide ribosomal RNA is filed under the name uncultured archaeon. RNAcentral's name for it is "bacterial SSU rRNA". It matches the Rfam family "Archaeal small subunit ribosomal RNA", at positions 219 to 656 of the family's 1478-position model. The record is from RNAcentral.
GACCGAUCAGGCUGUUGGCGAGGUAAUGGCUCACCAAACCAGUAACCGGUACGGGCCUUGAGAGAGGGGGCCCGGAGAUGGACACUGAGAGAAGGGUCCAGGUCCUACGGGGCGGAGCAGGCGCGAAACCUUCGCAAUGCGCGAAAGCGUGACGAGGUUAAUCCGAGUGGUCCCCGCUGAGGGGAUCUUUUGUCGGCUGUAAAAAGGCCGGUGAAUAAGGGGAGGGCAAGUCUGGUGUCAGCCGCCGCGGUAAUACCAGCUCCUCGAGUGGCCGGGGCGAUUAUUGGGCCUAAAGCAUCCGUAGCCGGUUCCGUAGGUCUUCUGUACAAUCCAACGGUUCAACCGUUGGCCCGCAAAAGAUACCGCGGGACUAGGACGCCGGAGAGGUGGGCGGUACUCCACGUGUAGGGGUAAAAUCCUUUGAUCCGUGGAAGA